This 469-nucleotide ribosomal RNA is filed under the name uncultured bacterium. RNAcentral describes it as "partial 16S ribosomal RNA". It matches the Rfam family "Bacterial small subunit ribosomal RNA", at positions 28 to 507 of the family's 1533-position model. The record is from RNAcentral.
GAUGAACGCUGGCGGCGUGCUUAACACAUGCAAGUCGAACGGUGAACACGGAGCUUGCUCUGUGGGAUCAGUGGCGAACGGGUGAGUAACACGUGAGCAACCUGCCCCUGACUCUGGGAUAAGCGCUGGAAACGGCGUCUAAUACUGGAUAUGUGACGUGACCGCAUGGUCUGCGUUUGGAAAGAUGUUUCGGUUGGGGAUGGGCUCGCGGCCUAUCAGCUUGUUGGUGAGGUAAUGGCUCACCAAGGCGUCGACGGGUAGCCGGCCUGAGAGGGUGACCGGCCCCACUGGGACUGAGACACGGCCCAGACUCCUACGGGAGGCAGCAGUGGGGAAUAUUGCACAAUGGGCGCAAGCCUGAUGCAGCAACGCCGCGUGAGGGAUGACGGCCUUCGGGUUGUAAACCUCUUUUAGCAGGGAAGAAGCGAAAGUGACGGUACCUGCAGAAAAAGCGCCGGCUAACUACGUG